Molecule: ribosomal RNA, 141 nt
Filed under: uncultured bacterium
Lineage: Bacteria
Description: partial 16S ribosomal RNA
Rfam family: Bacterial small subunit ribosomal RNA
Source: RNAcentral
UGGGGAAUAUUGCGCAAUGGGCGAAAGCCUGACGCAGCGACGCCGCGUGAGGGAUGAAGGUCUUCGGAUCGUAAACCUCUGUCAGCAGGGAAGAACGGUCACUGUGCUAAUCAGCAGUGAAUUGACGGUACCUNCAAGGAA